This 495-nucleotide ribosomal RNA is filed under the name uncultured bacterium. Its description in RNAcentral is "partial 16S ribosomal RNA". It matches the Rfam family "Bacterial small subunit ribosomal RNA", at positions 28 to 507 of the family's 1533-position model. The record is from RNAcentral.
GACGAACGCUGGCGGCGUGCCUAAUACAUGCAAGUAGAACGCUGAAGGAGGAGCUUGCUCUUCUGGAUGAGUUGCGAACGGGUGAGUAACGCGUAGGUAACCUGCCUGGUAGCGGGGGAUAACUAUUGGAAACGAUAGCUAAUACCGCAUAACAGUAGAUGUUGCAUGACAUUUGCUUGAAAGGUGCAAUUGCAUCACUACCAGAUGGACCUGCGUUGUAUUAGCUAGUUGGUGGGGUAACGGCUCACCAAGGCGACGAUACAUAGCCGACCUGAGAGGGUGAUCGGCCACACUGGGACUGAGACACGGCCCAGACUCCUACGGGAGGCAGCAGUAGGGAAUCUUCGGCAAUGGACGGAAGUCUGACCGAGCAACGCCGCGUGAGUGAAGAAGGUUUUCGGAUCGUAAAGCUCUGUUGUAAGAGAAGAACGAGUGUGAGAGUGGAAAGUUCACACUGUGACGGUAUCUUACCAGAAAGGGACGGCUAACUACGUG